Molecule: ribosomal RNA, 516 nt
Filed under: uncultured bacterium
Lineage: Bacteria
Description: bacterial SSU rRNA
Rfam family: Bacterial small subunit ribosomal RNA
Source: RNAcentral
ACGACGCUGGCGGCGUGCCUAAUACAUGCAAGUCGAACGGUCUUUCUAUGGAAGCUUGCUUCCACUGAGAAGAUAGUGGCGAACGGGUGAGUAACACGUGGGUAACCUGCCCAUAAGAGGGGGAUAACAUCCGGAAACGGGUGCUAAUACCGCAUAGUUUUCUUGAUCGCAUGAUUGAGAAAGGAAAGACGGCCUUUGUGCUGUCGCUUAUGGAUGGACCCGCGGCGUAUUAGUUAGUUGGUGAGGUAAUGGCUCACCAAGACGAUGAUACGUAGCCGACCUGAGAGGGUGAUCGGCCACAUUGGGACUGAGACACGGCCCAAACUCCUACGGGAGGCAGCAGUAGGGAAUCUUCCGCAAUGGACGAAAGUCUGACGGAGCAACGCCGCGUGAGUGAAGAAGGUUUUUCCGGAUCGUAAAACUCUGUUGUCAGAGAAGAACAAGUUGGAGAGUAACUGCUCCAGCCUUGACGGUAUCUGACCAGAAAGCCACGGCUAACUACGUGCCAGCAGCCGC